UUAAACUUUUAUUCUUUUCUCAUACAUUACAUCCCAACCUUAGUUUCCCCUCCCUCCACUCCUCCCAGCCCCUCCCUCCAUAUCCCCUCUCCCCCAGAUCAACUCCUCUGUUUCUGAUACAAUAAGACUGGGCACAAACCCUCAUAUCAUGGCUAGAUGUGGUAACCCAGUAUUUUUUUUAGACAAGGUCUCUCUGUGUUGGUCAGGCUGGUUUUAAACUCAAGGAUUCAAGUGAUCCUCCUUCAAGUAGCUAGGACUACAGAUGCAUACCAUGUACCCAGUGAGGUCAGUGCUUUUGAGGGCACCGCCCACUUGUCAUUUGCAGGCUGGGUUGGGAUGCUGUAAAGCAGCACUGGGGCAUCUUGAUUACAGUACAGGAGUGAGCAUGCUAGGAAGCCAUAGAUGCUGGGGCUGGGGGUUGAGCAGGGGAUGAAUUGGGAUCCCCUAGCAUCCAACUGCGAAUUUGGGAGAGUCAACUAAGUCUUCCAGACCUCAGUGGUCUUCAUUUGUUCAUUAGGAUGACAGCGGUAGCUACCUCUGUUGUAGUAUGAGACUUGACUUACGUUCAUAUCAGCAAAGUGCCUAGGACUGGGUGUGUGAAAUAUAUGGUCCCACGGGACCCUACAGUAUUAAAUGUUCUGAGGUUAUUAUCUUGUUAUUAUCUUAAAAUUUGGAUAUAGGUCCCUCCAUUUUCUUUUGCAGUGCCCCCUCUGGGUUCUGACACUGGCACAUUGGAGUAACUCUCUGUCUUCUGAGGGUGGUUAUUUACUAUUGCUUUGAAAAGGCAGGAUCAUGAUGUUUUGGGGUCGCAAGGUCAGAAGGUUGUAAGCAAUCUAAGGAGGUGAGAAGAGAUCACUUGGUCCUUAAGGGUUUCUCUCUUGUCCCCAGCAGUUGAAGUCGUCUGCCUCGGGACUUGGGGUACUCACCAUAGCUGGAGCCUUUGACAGUGCCAUCUUUCCGGCCAGUCAAGAAGAUUCUGAGUUGAGAUAUGCAGUCCCGAUCUCUGCUCAGACACCAGAAUCCCAUGGGUAGGGUCAGGCUACUCACUUAAGAAACUCUUCUGGCUCCUCGAAGACCUUCUCACAACCAGGCCACUUGCAGACUCCGUUGGCCAGCAGUGGGUAGGAUCCUUGUGGUGCAGCCAAAAGGUUGCUGGGGGUGGGAGAACCCAGGGUGUCAGCAGAGGGGUGGGCGGAGAGAAGGGGCUCUUCCCAACACUGCCAACUUACUUUUCUUUCCUGGGUGUACCCGAGCGUGGGAAGGUGCAGAGUAGAGCUGGCUCCCUGGAUACCCACUCCAGACUGGCCACAUUGAUCCCUGUGAGUAGAGACAGGGUACUUCUGGGGCUGCAGGCUAGGCUCUGCAGCUUGUCCCAGAAGGCCUCUACCUUCCCUGGACCUUGGAGACUGACUGAUAGGACUCUGCUGUUCCCACAGAGCAGGCUUCUGACAGAGAAGCCUAAAGACAGCCCUUGGUAAGUAAUGACAUUUUGAGUAAUGGCAGCAAUUUGUGAUUUUUGACAUUCUAUGUCUUCAAGGUUCUAAGCCUGACAGAUUUUGGAGGUUGGUGUUUUCAUGACUCUUAAGACCCCUCUAGACCUCCAUAGGGCUGUAACUCAGAAAAGUUUACAAUUGUGUAUAUUCAAAAAUCUGAGGACUUGGCGGUUCUGUGAAGCCAUGGGGAGAAAGCAGAUGUGUUUACCAGGUGGCAGGCCAGGCCGGGCCUUGAGGGAGAAGACCCCAGCGGCAGCAGAAGGUGGUGGGAGGCUGAUCAUAGCUGGGUUGUCCAGUGGGCGCACUUGUAGCAAAGGGGUCUGGGCAUGGGCAUCCACAGUGGAGAGCUGAGGAACAUAUAUGGACCAUGGCUCAGGCUGGCUUGUGCUCUGCCUUACAGUUAUCCUGUUUGUUCCCUCUUCCCAGCCUGUUCAGAUUCCAUACCUGAUGCAUGAAGUGUGGUCUAUCCUGGAGAAGUGCCUGCAAGUGGGGCGAGGGGCCUAGUCGGGCCCCAGAGGGUGCCACCAUGACUAGGGGUACUGUAGGCAGCUGGAAGGAGAAGGCAGAUGCCAUGAGAUGCUAGCCUCAGCUUCACAGUCCUGUGUCUCAUCAUCGUCUUUUCACUAAAGUUCCACAUAGUAGGGACUGUUAACAUAUCCAGUUCACACACGUGGAAUCUGAGGCUCAUAGAGACAUGAUUCACCAAUAUCAAACAGUUAAAAGUGGUAGAGUUGGCCCCAACACUGUCACCUUACCUUCCUGGGCUCCAGCCAUCUCCUCUUGACACAGUGAGAUGGGGACACAUGGCUAUGCCCAUGGGAUCAUAAUAAGGUCUCCUUUUGGGACAAGGAUUGGGAGGGUGGGGGAAGCCUCGAAUCUCUGAAGCCUGGAGAGUGGGGAUUUUCUUGGCCCUGCAACAUCUGCAUAAGUCAUAGACUUGCCUGGGACCCAUAAACCACUUCCUGUGCCCCAGCCAGCCCCCCUCCUGCCACAUGCCACAGUAAAGGUCGGCACCUAUAGGCCCAGGUACCCCACCCUGCUUGCCCCAUUCUGGGCCCCGGGCCUCACCUGCAGCUGUGAUGGUGGCAGGGGGUUUAAGGAGGAAGAAGUGUGGGCCCCACCUCGCAGGUCCCGGCCUUGGAAGGUUCCCCCAGGACCCCUGGUCCCUAGGAGUUCUGAGCCCUUGGGUGCAGUCUUCCAGCUUGGUAAGACUCCUGGGGAUGGACCAAGGGCCAAGGAAGGGGCCACGGGCUUGGCUGGCCUGGGGUUGGGCAUUGGGUUCUUGUCAGAGGCAGGCUGCAGGAACAACAGUGGAAUGGAAUCACAUGCAUUCCAGGGGUGGUGUAAGACAUUCAUCCACUUGAACCAUACAGAUAGUGUACCCGAGCCCUCCUCUCUCUUACACAUAUACACUGAUAUAUGUAUAAAACACAAAUUGUGUUUAUCCCCCACAUGUACAUGUCCAGAACUUGAUUUGCCUGCAUACACCUCACAGUCCUGUUGUGAAUGUGGGGCAAUGGGGAGUUGGUUUGUGGAGCCUCAGCCUUCUGGUACCCCCUGCAUUCUGUAUGGGCCACAGUCAUUGCUGAUUCUACUGGGGCUUAUCUUGGACUCUCUUUUCAUUAUUUUAUUCCAGUGACUUGGGCAUGAGCUCAAAAGAGUCAGCUGGAUGCCAUGAGAGGGAAGGUUCCAGGGAACUUAGUAGUACUAGUGAGAAGUGGACUGCAAUAGUUUAGGUCAGUGAUGCUGCUGCUACCAACCCGGAUAAUGGCAGAGCAGCUGGUAAGGAAUGGCUAGAUAGUAAGUCUUUUUUUGAAGACAGAGUCAGGAGAAGUUGCUGGAGGCUUAGAUGUAGGAGAUGGGAGAAAGGGUCAAGAUGACAUCUGGGGUUUUGUAUAAGCAGCUAUGACAAAGUAAUCAUUGCCAGAGAUGGAGAAUGGAGGAGUAGAGUUUGCAGAUGGCAGUCCGAUGUGGCUGCAUGCAAAGGUAAGCAAUUAGAUGGAGGGUAGACAUGCAGGUAGGUAACUGAACUCAGGACUGCACAGCUCAGGGCUUUUGUCCUGCAUGGAGUUAACAUGGCAGGUGCCAGAAAAAGGAGGGACAGGAUUUCUUGAUCCAGGGCCCUUGGGAGCUCCCCAAAUUAGCCUCAUCCCUACUUGCCCCAAUCUUUGCUCCCCAAGCUUGGAAUUCCUGCAGCAUCUCGUCUUCCCCUAGCCAGACCUGUCUUCUGUGUUCCUCCUUAAAGCCCUCCAUGGUGACCCAAGCCCCUCUGCUGAGCCCCAUUACCUUAUAGAUCCUGAGGGGCAUGGCUUUUGUUUUUGUUUUGGAUCUUAUAGUUCUAGUCAGAGAGGCAACCAGAUCUUGAAGUGAGGGAUCUUUAGUUAAAGGGGUACCCCAGGUUCAUAUUUCUACAGUUUGUUCAUAGCCUGUAACCUUUUCUUUUUAGAUAGGAUCUCAUGUAGCCUGGACUAGCCUGGAACUCACUAUAUAGCCAGGUUGUCCUUGAACUGUUUGCUUUCUGAGUGCUGGGAUUACAAGUCACCAUUCCAGGCUGAUGUCUCCACAUCUUGGUCUAGGAAGUAUGUAUCCAUGUCUACAGUUCACAACUCCCUGCUUUGUAGAUGUGUACAUGUGUGUAUGUCAUUCUCUAGUCUACUGUACUACAUGCCUUGGGCAUAUGGCUUCUGAAAACAGCCAGGGGAGCACAGAAGUGUUCUGGAAGCCAAUUGCUUCUUUGUUAUCAUGUCAUGGGGAUCAUCAGAACUGUGGCCCUGAGUUUAAAACUGCAGUGUCUCAUGGGUUAAACCAUUAGCAUGAGAACCAGGAGUCUGGGUCUGUAGAGGCUGAGAACACGGGCUUCAUAGAACAGUGAUGAGAAGAGGAAGUGAAAGACUGAAUGAAGGCAGGCAGCCAUGAGGUGAUGGUUCUCCAAGGCAAAGAGAGCAAAGAAAACAAACUAGAAGGCCAAGAGUAGAUUACAGAAGGAGCCAACCGUGCUGACAUAUUGGUCUUCUAACCUCUAGAACUGUGACACAAUAAACUAUGCUGUAAAAUUCA
Non-coding RNA from Cricetulus griseus (Chinese hamster), 4550 nucleotides. NCBI's taxonomy places the organism in Eukaryota, Metazoa, Chordata, Mammalia, Rodentia, Cricetidae. The record is from RefSeq and is a predicted model, not a curated record.